This 18-nucleotide small RNA is filed under the name Arabidopsis thaliana (thale cress). Its description in RNAcentral is "ATSL190470". Lineage: Eukaryota; Viridiplantae; Streptophyta; Magnoliopsida; Brassicales; Brassicaceae. The record is from RNAcentral.
AAAGAAGACACAAAAAGU